Sciurus vulgaris (Eurasian red squirrel) is the source of this 103-nucleotide small nuclear RNA. The record is from Ensembl. Lineage: Eukaryota; Metazoa; Chordata; Mammalia; Rodentia; Sciuridae.
AUGCUUGCCUUGGCAGCACAUAUACUAAAAGUGGAAAAAUAGAAGGUUAGCAUGGCCUCUGAACAAUAAUGAUAUGCAAAUACACAAAGAGUUCCAUAUUUCU